GACGAACGCUGGCGGCGUGCUUAACACAUGCAAGUCGAACGGAAAGGCCCUGCUUUUGUGGGGUGCUCGAGUGGCGAACGGGUGAGUAACACGUGAGUAACCUGCCCUUGACUUUGGGAUAACUUCAGGAAACUGGGGCUAAUACCGGAUAGGAGCUCCUGCGGCAUGGUGGGGGUUGGAAAGUUUCGGCGGUUGGGGAUGGACUCGCGGCUUAUCAGCUUGUUGGGGGGGUAGUGGCUUACCAAGGCUUUGACGGGUAGCCGGCCUGAGAGGGUGACCGGCCACAUUGGGACUGAGAUACGGCCCAGACUCCUACGGGAGGCAGCAGUGGGGAGUAUUGCACAGUGGGCGGAAGCCUGAUGCAGCAACGCCGCGUGCGGGAUGACGGCCUUCGGGUUGUAAACCGCUUUCGCCUGUGACGAAGCGUAAGUGACGGUAAUGGGUAAAGAAGCACCGGCUAACUACGUG
RNAcentral lists this ribosomal RNA (468 nucleotides) under uncultured bacterium. RNAcentral's name for it is "partial 16S ribosomal RNA". It matches the Rfam family "Bacterial small subunit ribosomal RNA", at positions 28 to 507 of the family's 1533-position model. The record is from RNAcentral.